AUUGAACGCUGGCGGCAGGCCUAACACAUGCAAGUCGAGCGGAUGAAGGGAGCUUGCUCCUGGAUUCAGCGGCGGACGGGUGAGUAAUGCCUAGGAAUCUGCCUGGUAGUGGGGGAUAACGUCCGGAAACGGGCGCUAAUACCGCAUACGUCCUGAGGGAGAAAGUGGGGGAUCUUCGGACCUCACGCUAUCAGAUGAGCCUAGGUCGGAUUAGCUAGUUGGUGGGGUAAAGGCCUACCAAGGCGACGAUCCGUAGCUGGUCUGAGAGGAUGAUCAGUCACACUGGAACUGAGACACGGUCCAGACUCCUACGGGAGGCAGCAGUGGGGAAUAUUGGACAAUGGGCGAAAGCCUGAUCCAGCAAUGCCGCGUGUGUGAAGAAGGUCUUCGGAUUGUAAAGCACUUUAAGUUGGGAGGAAGGGCAGUAAGUUAAUCCCUUGCUGUUUUGACGUUACCAACAGAAUAAGCACCGGCUAACUUCGUG
This 484-nucleotide ribosomal RNA is filed under the name uncultured bacterium. RNAcentral's name for it is "partial 16S ribosomal RNA". It matches the Rfam family "Bacterial small subunit ribosomal RNA", at positions 30 to 507 of the family's 1533-position model. The record is from RNAcentral.